This 253-nucleotide ribosomal RNA is filed under the name uncultured bacterium. RNAcentral describes it as "partial 16S ribosomal RNA". It matches the Rfam family "Bacterial small subunit ribosomal RNA", at positions 524 to 776 of the family's 1533-position model. The record is from RNAcentral.
GACAGAGGUGGCAAGCGUUGUCCGGAGUUACUGGGCGUAAAGGGCGCGGAGGCGGUCUGCGGCGUCGGCGCUGAAAGCGCCCCGCUUAACGGGGCGAGGCGUGCCGAUACGCGCAGACUUGAGGCGAGCAGAGGGUGGUGGAAUUCCGGGUGGAGCGGUGAAAUGCGUAGAGAUCCGGAGGAACGCAAGUGGGGAAGCCGGCCACCUGGGCUCGUCCUGACGCUGCGGCGCGACAGCGUGGGGAGCAAACCGG